CCGCAGAAGAAGCACCGGCUAACUCCGUGCCAUCAGCCGAGGUAAUACGGAGGGUGCAAGCGUUAAUCGGAAUUACUGGGAGUAAAGCGCACGCAGGCGGUCUGUCAAGUCGGAUGUGAAAUCCCCGGGCUCAACCUGGGAACUGCAUUCGAAACUUGCAGGCUCGAGUCUAGAAGAGGGGGGUAGAAUUCCUGGUGAUGCGUUGGACUCCGUUGUGCGCUGGUGGCUCA
Molecule: ribosomal RNA, 230 nt
Filed under: Klebsiella pneumoniae
Lineage: Bacteria; Pseudomonadati; Pseudomonadota; Gammaproteobacteria; Enterobacterales; Enterobacteriaceae
Description: partial 16S ribosomal RNA
Rfam family: Bacterial small subunit ribosomal RNA
Source: RNAcentral